GUUCUGAACAGUGCUUUAAGCAUAAGCUAUUGUGCCUAACCCUACCUGACUGAAAAUUUCAUUCGUUAAGAUUCCACACGGGCGCACUGUUACAAAACUUAUGGAGAGAGGCAACAGCCCCUUCGACCGGCGGCAAUACUGCGGCAAGAUCAGUCUCAAUAACAGUUGAGACAGAAGCAGCAACUGCAAAGUUCAUCAAGGUCGCCUGCAAGAACAGAGCCUGCUCGCGGAACGCAAGUAAUGCAAGUUAAAAUUAUUAUUAUUAUUGAUAUAAUGUUAAAGUUUUCAACAUUCCUUCUAAAAAACGAAACAAUAGUACAUUUAAUAUUGGCUAAUAUUACUGCUGCGGCUAAGAAGGUAAUAUUACAACUCCCUCGAGUGCAAGAAGGUACAUUUUUCUAUAAAAUUAUUGAUUAUUAACAAACAUUGACUCUAAAAAGUUUCCAUUAGAUUUGACUAUACUUUUCAACUAUUAUCAAUAAUUCAGAAAUAGUCCUCAACAGAAUUUAAAAAGUUGUCUCGACUACCAAAAAGUAAUUGAAACAACUAUGAAUGUAGUUGGUGCAAUAAGAUUUUUUUUCGCAUUUUAACAUUCUUUCUCAGAAUAUAAAAUAGAGCUCGAUUUAUUUACUUUUAUUUACUAAUGCUGAUGCAG
Leptopilina heterotoma is the source of this 655-nucleotide RNA transcript. RefSeq lists it as uncharacterized. NCBI's taxonomy places the organism in Eukaryota, Metazoa, Arthropoda, Insecta, Hymenoptera, Figitidae. The record is from RefSeq and is a predicted model, not a curated record. The transcript has 2 exons.